RNAcentral lists this long non-coding RNA (2888 nucleotides) under Capsicum annuum. RNAcentral's name for it is "long non-coding RNA (CANN_LNC011855)". The record is from RNAcentral. Lineage: Eukaryota; Viridiplantae; Streptophyta; Magnoliopsida; Solanales; Solanaceae.
UUGUCCCAAGCAACCAAAUCCUUUCUCUUGGCCUCCAACUCACCUGUCCAAAGAAACCUUCUAUAAAUUGAUUCAAUUUCCUGUAUAAUACCUUAAGGAAGGGGGAUGAUCUGGGACCAAAGGGACUGCACAACUAUCAAAAGACUCUUCAAUAACUGCAACCUUCUAGUAUAAGACAAAAAUUUUAUAGUCCAGGUAGUAAUCCCCCUAAUAUUUCAUCAAGUAAUGGUUGACACGAAGCUAUCAUGAGAUUCAUAGAGCUUAAAGGAACAACAAUAUUCUUAAAAAGUAAUCUACCAAAGGUAAAAUCAAGAUUCUAUAAAAUAUUUUAUAGAUCAAUUUUCUUAACUUCGCCAAAUAAAUGUUAGUCUUGCUCUGAUUUACAACAAAACCAGAAGCCUUUGAAAAGUGUUGAAAACAAUGAUGGGGUAAGCUGGUAGAUCUCACAUCCCCUGUACAAAAUAACAACAAAUCAUCUACAAAUUAAGUUGGAUAAGCUCAAGUUUUUUGCUCCUUGGAUAAUAUUGAAAGCUUAAUUUCUAUUGUAACACUUUGAGCAACCUUGUCAAGCACUCCAUUGCUAGUACAAAUAAGUAAAGGAGAAGUGGAUCUCCCUACCUAAUCCAUCUUUUAGGAACAAAAUAAAUAGUAAGGCAAUUAUUUAUUAAAAUGGAAUUGAAAAAAGCUUACAAGAACCUCAUAAUCUAAGAUAUAAACAUCUCAAAAAAAUUUAACCCUUGAAAAACUUGCUUCAAAAACCUCCAUUCUAGAGUGUCAUAAGCCUUUAUGCCUAUUUUUUCUAUCAUAACUUUUCACUAGUUCAUGAUUCAUUAUCACUUAAUAUUUUACUAGGGUCCACCAUCUACCAACUAAUCCAUGAAAGGCUUUAACCUAAGGGUAAGUAUCAUUGAGAUAAUUUUGUAUAAGGUGGUACAACAAGAGAUAGGUCUAGAAUUUGAUGGUGGAAGGGUGUUUAAUUUUGGGUACCAACGUAGCUGAGGUAGUGGUAAUAGGGGUAUGAUUUUUAUGGGAAUCAAAAACUAAAGUAUUAUAGUACUCACUAUAUACCACAUAAUAGUCUUGGACUUUUUAAGGAAAUAGACAUUAAAUCCAUGACUAGCUCAAGCAUUCAUGUCAUCAAUUCCCUGAAGAGCAUUAAAAAGAGCUUUUUGUAUGAAAGGGUGUAUAAGCUGGAGAUGUUGUUCUCUAGUGAGCGUUGGACCAUUUAACAAAAUAUUAGGAUCUACAGUACGUAGGGAUUAGUUGCUUUCCCAUAAGUUAUUUAUAAUACUGUACCACCUCCUUUCUAAUGCCAGCUAAGUGGAUAAUCUGAGUUUCAAUAUUAGUAGCGAGAAUUGUGACUUAAUUCUGCAGCUGCUUAUCCUUCAUACUUGAAAAGAACUACUUUGUGUUUGAGUCACCAACUUGCAACCACUUCAUCCUAGAUUAUUGUUUAUAGAUUCUCUCCUUUAUAGUACUCUAUUUGAUGAGUUUAUCCCUUGUAAACUUUUCAGCUUCAAACAAAACUAUAUCUGAAGCAACACUACUUAUCUAAAUUCAAAUGAUGUAUUGUGAUUCUUCACUCUUCCACCCUUGUUUUCAAUUUCAUGAACUCUUUUAUGUUUUAGCCUUGAUUUCCUGCCCAACAUUGUUCAACUCCAGCCAAAUUAUUUUCAUAUCACCUGAUUAAGUACUCCAGCAUGCUGUUACUUUUCUCUAAAAGUCAGGGUGGUCAGCCAAGCAAUUAUAAUGCCUAAAAGGUUUCUAUCCUAGUUUUUGAGGAUGAUCAAUUGCUAGACAUAGAAGGGAGUGAUCUGAAUAAGCAUUAUCUCUAACUUGAACCUGGUUAAAUGGCAUAUACAACAAUCAAUGGGCAUAGACUAUAGGCUUGUCUAUUCUACUAAAGAUAUGUUGAUUUAUUAAAGUAUAAUGCCUUUCCACUAUCCCUAGUUCAGCCAAUGACAAUCUAACAUAAACUCCCUAAAAUUCCCUAAUUCAUAAGCAUGUACAUCCACGCAUCCUAUCAUUUGGAUCUAAAUGGGAGUUAAAAUCUCCCAUAUGAACUAGGGAGUCUCAUUCCUCAUUCAAUUCCCCUCAGUUCUUUAUAGCUAGUGCAGAGUAAAUUUCAUAAGCUGUUGUGAAACAAAGUUCCUUAUUUAUGCUAUAAUUAUGAACCAAUCUAUGUAUAUACUGAGCCUUUGCAUCCUACAGUGUAAAUUUGACAACAUUUAGAUCCCAAGCAAGUCAAAUGAUUUUCUUGUCUAAACCUGAAGCAUUAGUGUACCAACUCCAACCUAGUGCAGUUUCAUUUAUUAUCAAUGCUACUUUUUCAUCACUAACUCUAUGCUUGAUAAUAGAAAUAAUACUAACUUUAUUUACUUUGAGAAACUAUUUUAUCUCUUUGUGCUUAGACACAUUACUGAAUCCCCUCACAUUUUAAGUCACUAUAAUUUAAGUAAUGUUAGACGAAAAAUUUUCAUCUCUCUUAUCCUCUCUACCACCAGUACUAAAUACAUCAUACUUUGACUUACUACCAAAACUUGAUCAAUAUAAACCUGGCUAGUACUAGCCCACCGAUUUGUAUUUGUCUUCUAAGCUAACCUAUUUUUCAGCACUUGCCAAGUAUUCUCCUCUUGAGUAACAUAUUUUCUUUGUGUCUUUGGUUUAUUAGGUCGACCCUAAAGCCACAACCCUGGAUUCAGGUGCAACAACAGUCCCACUAUUGAAGAUACUUGCAAGGUUUUUUCUCUGAUUCUUUCCUGCUUUUGGUUCAAAUACCUUGGUCUAGGAAGGUAUCUUCUUUGUUGGGGAGGGCCUUAAGAUGCUUUUUCUGGCAGUUAUGUCCUACCUGAAGGAAAUUAGAAUAGUAAAUUGGCUUCUUGUCAUAC